Long non-coding RNA from Canis lupus familiaris (dog), 1297 nucleotides. RefSeq lists it as uncharacterized. NCBI's taxonomy places the organism in Eukaryota, Metazoa, Chordata, Mammalia, Carnivora, Canidae. The record is from RefSeq and is a predicted model, not a curated record. The transcript is spliced from 3 exons.
CAGAGCCACAGGCAGAGAGGGAGCCAGGUGGGCUCUUAAGGGAGGUCUCCAUCCAACUGUCCCCCGACUACAGAUGGGCAAGCUGAGCGGUGAAACCUGCCUCUUCCUUCGCCUGAUGCUCACAGGCACACUCCGUUGGCACAGGAGACAGGUAGGUGUGCAGCAGGACCCUAUGGCAGCAGAGACUACAGUCGUCAGACAAUCAGGGGAUUGUUGGCUUAGAUCCACGUCUUCCUGACAUCCUCAGAACCAUCCUAACAGUGAAUCUGGAUCUGGCUAAACCUCGGUGAGGAAGGUGAGAUGGCAGGUGACCAUGUGACCUCUGACACUAACGUGCUGCUCUUCACUCCUUCCGUGGGGUUGUGGACGUUCUGCCUCAGAGUUCCCAGAUCCUAGGAUGUGAAUGCUGGACAGGACCUUGUGGGCUGCCUGCUGGUCCUAUUGUGGCAACCCAUCAAGCACCACCUCUGCCUGAAGCAGUGGAUGAGGCUGAGUCAGAGCUCAGAUGAACAACAGUGUGGUCCUUCUGCUCCCAGCCCUGUUUUACAGAUGAGAAAAUGAAACCUUAGGGAUGAUGCAGCUCAUCUGAAAUCACGAGCUAGAGGCAAGGAAACCAGGAUUAAGACCCUGGCUACAAGCUUCAAGAACCUUGCAGACCUUAACAUCACACUGCUCCCUAAAACUAGCCAGCUGUUGCAGCAGUCCUCAUAUCCAUACUGCCAAAAGGAUCCUUGUGACCUCAGGCAAAUCCACCUUCUCACUUCUACACAGGACCAGGACUAGGGAUGCUAAGACCCCUUCCUGUGAACCAACACCUGGCCCUGCAACCUGAGUUACAUCAUUCUAGUUCAACUUGCCUAGCCUUCUCUGUACUUCGAUUUCCCCCUCAAUAAAGCAAGAUGAUCACAUUCCCCCUAUAACUAACAUUAAUCAUUUUCUUCCUGUCGACUGCUAUCCAAUCCAAAAAGUUGACCCUGGUUCAGGAACCAGUCUUGGAUGAUGCAUGUGAAGAGUACGUAAAAAACCUUUCCUUUCAUCCACCUACUGAGAAUUCAUCAAAAUCAUCUGAGGAAAGGAAUGGAGCAUUCUUCCAGGUCAAUAGACUGCAGCUCCUGGGGGAUGAACAGCUUUAAUCAGCAAGUCCUGUCAAAACCUAAGUGAUCACUCACAUAUACCUGCUUUGUUUCCCAAGCAACUAACAGGAGUUGCAGGAUAAGCUCCUAACUUGAGCCACCUGGUCUUCAAACCAGAAAGGUGCUCUCAUGAGCUUACAACAGCCUUGUCUAGCCACAGAAUU